RNAcentral lists this ribosomal RNA (758 nucleotides) under Karenia sp. GM94GAB. RNAcentral's name for it is "partial 24S large subunit ribosomal RNA". It matches the Rfam family "Eukaryotic large subunit ribosomal RNA", at positions 18 to 662 of the family's 3401-position model. Lineage: Eukaryota; Dinophyceae; Gymnodiniales; Kareniaceae. The record is from RNAcentral.
AGCAAACCCGCUGAAUUUAAGCAUAUAAGUAAGCGGAGGAUAAGAAACUAAAUAGGAUUCCCUUAGUAAUGGCGAAUGAACAGGGAUAAGCUCAGCAUGGAAAUUGGGGCCUCUGGCCUUGAAUUGUAGUCUUGAGAUGUGCUACCAACGGAGGCGCAGAUGUAAGCCUCUUGGAAAAGAGCGUCAGGGAGGGUGAGAGUCCCGUAUGUCAUCUGCAGUUCUCUGUGCACGGUACAUUUUCCAAGAGUCACGUUCCUCGGGAUUGGAGCGCAAAUUGGGUGGUAAAUUUCAUCUAAAGCUAAAUAUUGGUUCGAGACCGAUAGCAAACAAGUACCAUGAGGGAAAGGUGAAAAGGACUUUGAAAAGAGAGUUAAAAGUGCCUGAAAUUGCUGAAAGGGAAGCGAAUGGAACCAGUUGUUCUUGGCGAGUAUUGGUGUUGUCUAAAGUGAGGGCUUGCCACUUCAGCGCAAGUGUGGUGGCAGGUUUUGAUCUGGAUGCGAUACUGCAUCUCGCCUUGCAUGUCAACGUCAGUUCAUAAUUGAGGAAAACUCUAAGGACUUGGUAAUUUGCUUCCGGGUGACUGAAUGUCUCUAGUGGAACUCAUUUUUGAACUGCUUUUGUAUGUCUUGUUGCAAUGCUCUGCGUGCUUGCCUGUGAUCCGGUGCUUGCUCUGUUUGGCAUGGGGUUGCUGGUGCCUGGAGCAUGUCCUUGACAUAAGUACGAUGACGAAAUUGGUUAUUCGACCCGUCUUGAAACAC